AACGCACAUUGCGCCCUUUGGCAUUCCGAAGGGCAUGCCUGUUCGAGCGUCAUUAUCAACCCUCAAGCAUCGGCUUGGUAUUGAAACUUUAGGUCCGUCACGCGGACCGGUUCGAAAGAUAACGACGGUUGUCUAUGGGGCCCUCGAUGCAAUGAGCUCUCACCAGCACGCAUCAGAGCGGUCUUGUGGCCCGGUCUUUACCUAUAUUUUACAAGGUUGACCUCGGAUCAGGUAGGAAUACCCGCUGAACUUAA
RNAcentral lists this unclassified non-coding RNA (254 nucleotides) under uncultured Ascomycota. RNAcentral's name for it is "sequence contains ITS2". The record is from RNAcentral. Lineage: Eukaryota; Fungi; Ascomycota.